RNAcentral lists this ribosomal RNA (118 nucleotides) under Vigna angularis (adzuki bean). Lineage: Eukaryota; Viridiplantae; Streptophyta; Magnoliopsida; Fabales; Fabaceae. The record is from RNAcentral. RNAcentral also lists the same sequence under 1 other name.
AGGUGCGAUAAGACCAGCACUAAUGCACCGGAUCUCAUCAGAACUCCGUAGUGAAGCAUGCUUGGGCGAGAGUAGUACUAGGAUGGGUGACCUCUUGGGAAUUCCUUGUUUGCACCUC